This 1241-nucleotide long non-coding RNA is filed under the name Gossypium barbadense (sea-island cotton). RNAcentral's name for it is "long non-coding RNA (GBAR_LNC004010)". Lineage: Eukaryota; Viridiplantae; Streptophyta; Magnoliopsida; Malvales; Malvaceae. The record is from RNAcentral.
UAAAUAAUAUGGUGAGAGAUGCAACUAUUUUCCUCUUCAAUAUAUUUCUUUUCUAGAAAGUUGAAGGAAAAUGAAAUUAUUAUGAAUUUGAAUACAUUAGUUUUUAAUUUUUAAAACUAUAAAAAAAAGGGUCGUGUAAAGCCCAAAAUCUGCCCGGGGCCCGAAACUCGGAAGCCCAAAAUCCAAACGCAGCAUGCCUAGGGCGCGCCGCUCCAGCCUCUGCCCAACCCCUCGCACGCCUCUGCUCCGCGCCAGCCUCCACGACGCCCAUACCGUCUGACACCCCCACCACUGUCGACCACGGUCACCUGCAAAGCCAAAAAGCAGGCGCAACAACAAAGAAAAUAAUGUAAAAAAGGAAAAAUAAUUCGGUUAUAAAAACCGAAAAUCUCACUAUUAUUUUCGGCUUCCCUUUUUCACGCACAAGAGAAAUAAAAAAGGAGACUAAGGUUCUUUUCUUUCGGAUCUAUUGUUCCAUUUAUUUUAUUUUAUUUUAAUAUUUAAAAAAACAAAAAUAAAAUAAAGAGGAAGGAGAAUACCUUAGGUCGCCUGAAGAGCCCUUCGCCGGCCACUUCGGUCGGCAGAAAUCGGGACGUGGGGAAGGGACGCUGAGUUUUCUCCUUUCGACCUUGAAGCCUAAGGAUUUCGGCCUUUAAGCGCUUCAAAAGUGGCCCAAGAAGGCGACCCUUGCGCUGCUCCGAUCACCGACGACGGUGGGAGGCACGGCGGCGCGGUGAAGGCUUAGAAGCCAGACCGUCGGUAGGCAUUGGGGGGGGUUUCAAAGAGCCUCCCAUUUUUUCCUCUGAAGAAGGAAGAAUGAAAUUUCAAAAAAAAUAUAGUUUAAAUGACAUAAACUAAAACGGCGCCGUUUUAGGAGGUGACCUGCGCCUCUUUGCCCUAAUGGGCAAUUUGCGCAUUCGAUCCCCCCAUCUUGCGUUGAAGUGCCAUCCAACCUCUUUAUUUCUUUUAGAUUUGGGCUGUAAAUUUUGAUUCUGUUUCAACCAGGUCCUUUGACCGUGUACAGGCCUUUGCGCUGAAACGCUGCGUCUUGGACUGGGGAAUAUUUCCCUGAGGGUCCUUUGAGCCUUGAGCGCGCUUCAUUUCAGCCCCUCCCCUUUUAUUUGCGAAUUUGGUCCCAAAUUAUUGGCCUGAUUCCAAUUCGAUCCUCGACCCUUUUUUUAACUUUAAGUUUUUUAUUUAUUUAUUUUUAUUUUUUAUAAAUAUGCAUGUUUAAAAACCAG